GACGUUAAGGGCGUCGAGCGGCGGACGGGUGAGUAAUGCCUGGGAAAUUGCCCUGAUGUGGGGGAUAACCAUUGGAAACGAUGGCUAAUACCGCAUAACGUCUACGGACCAAAGAGGGGGACCUUCGGGCCUCUCGCUUCAGGAUAUGCCCAGGUGGGAUUAGCUAGUUGGUGAGGUAAUGGCUCACCAAGGCGACGAUCCCUAGCUGGUCUGAGAGGAUGAUCAGCCACACUGGAACUGAGACACGGUCCAGACUCCUACGGGAGGCAGCAGUGGGGAAUAUUGCACAAUGGGCGCAAGCCUGAUGCAGCCAUGCCGCGUGUAUGAAGAAGGCCUUCGGGUUGUAAAGUACUUUCAGUCGUGAGGAAGGCAUUAACGUUAAUAGCGUUAGUGUUUGACGUUAGCGACAGAAGAAGCACCGGCUAACUCCGUGCCAGCAGCCGCGGUAAUACGGAGGGUGCGAGCGUUAAUCGGAAUUACUGGGCGUAAAGCGCAUGCAGGUGGUUUGUUAAGUCAGAUGUGAAAGCCCGGGGCUCAACCUCGGAACCGCAUUUGAAACUGGCAGGCUAGAGUACUGUAGAGGGGGGUAGAAUUUCAGGUGUAGCGGUGAAAUGCGUAGAGAUCUGAAGGAAUACCGGUGGCGAAGGCGGCCCCCUGGACAGAUACUGACACUCAGAUGCGAAAGCGUGGGGAGCAAACA
Molecule: ribosomal RNA, 700 nt
Filed under: uncultured bacterium
Lineage: Bacteria
Description: bacterial SSU rRNA
Rfam family: Bacterial small subunit ribosomal RNA
Source: RNAcentral